RNAcentral lists this ribosomal RNA (492 nucleotides) under uncultured bacterium. RNAcentral's name for it is "partial 16S ribosomal RNA". It matches the Rfam family "Bacterial small subunit ribosomal RNA", at positions 29 to 507 of the family's 1533-position model. The record is from RNAcentral.
AGUGAACGCUGGCGGUAGGCCUAACACAUGCAAGUCGAACGGCAGCACAGUAAGAGUUUGCUCUUACGGGUGGCGAGUGGCGGACGGGUGAGGUAUACAUCGGAAUCUACUUUUUCGUGGGGGAUAACGUAGGGAAACUUACGCUAAUACCGCAUACGACCUACGGGUGAAAGCAGGGGAUCUUCGGACCUUGCGCGAUUGAAUGAGCCGAUGUCGGAUUAGCUAGUUGGCGGGGUAAAGGCCCACCAAGGCGACGAUCCGUAGCUGGUCUGAGUGGAUGGUCGGCCACACUGGAACUUGGACACGGUCCAGACGCCUACGGGAGGCAGCAGUGGGGAAUAGUGGACAAUGGGCGCAAGCCUGAUCCAGCCAGACCGCGUGGGUGAAGAAGGCGUUCGGGUUGUAAAGCCCUUUUGUUGGGAAAGAAAAGCAGCAGGUUGAUACCCCGCUGUUCUGACGGUACCGAAAGAAUAAGCACCGGCUAACUUCGUG